Molecule: long non-coding RNA, 205 nt
Filed under: Olea europaea (common olive)
Lineage: Eukaryota; Viridiplantae; Streptophyta; Magnoliopsida; Lamiales; Oleaceae
Description: long non-coding RNA (OEUR_LNC005232)
Source: RNAcentral
GAAUAUUAACUUUUGCUGAUUUGUGUAUCAGGGAAUAAGAUCACAUGAUGUCAUGUUCGGAGAGAUUACUAUAGAUGAUAUUGGAAUCAUUGUAUCAAGGUGGAGAAUGUAGAGAAAAUGGCACAAUGAUGGGCUGCUCGAAGUAAUUAGCUGCUGGAAUAAACCUGCUAAUUGGGCCAGAUCUUGUAAUUAAUUUGGAGAGUUG